RNAcentral lists this small nuclear RNA (19 nucleotides) under Arabidopsis thaliana (thale cress). Its description in RNAcentral is "snRNA_06823". The record is from RNAcentral. Lineage: Eukaryota; Viridiplantae; Streptophyta; Magnoliopsida; Brassicales; Brassicaceae.
AAAGAAGAAAGAAAAAGAA